This 303-nucleotide ribosomal RNA is filed under the name uncultured bacterium. RNAcentral describes it as "partial 16S ribosomal RNA". It matches the Rfam family "Bacterial small subunit ribosomal RNA", at positions 507 to 807 of the family's 1533-position model. The record is from RNAcentral.
AGCAGUAGCCGCGGGAAUACGAAGGGUGCAAGCGUUACUCGGAAUUACUGGGCGUAAAGCGUGCGUAGGUGGUGGUUUAAGUCCGUUGUGAAAGCCCUGGGCUCAACCUGGGAAUUGCAGUGGAUACUGGGUCACUAGAGUGUGGUAGAGGAUAGUGGAAUUUCCGGUGUAGCAGUGAAAUGCGUAGAGAUCGGAAGGAACAUCUGUGGCGAAGGCGACUAUCUGGGCCAACACUGACACUGAGGCACGAAAGCGUGGGGAGCAAACAGGAUUAGAUACCCGCGUAGUCCCUGUCUCUUAUAC